Non-coding RNA from Lates calcarifer (barramundi perch), 520 nucleotides. The record is from the annotation of a RefSeq genome assembly. Lineage: Eukaryota; Metazoa; Chordata; Actinopteri; Centropomidae.
GUUGAGGAGAAGGGUUGUGCAGCAGAGAGGCUCUUUAGUUUUUUUAUUCUACUGCAGUGGAAGAACAUUGUUCAUCUGCUGUCUGUUUGGCUUCAACAACUCCAAAGACAUGUUGCUUUACCUCUUUUUGUUUUUAUCUCACUUCAUAGACAUGGGUUCCAUGAACAGCAUAAAGCCAGAAAGUGCUGAAGAAGUUGUUGCAGAGGGAACAAACAUCAACCUGACCUGUAAAUAUGACGGUGCUAUCAACAAUAUCCAGUGGUACCGACAAUACCAGAGAUCCAGACCAGAGUUCCUGCUCUACAUCACAGAGGGAGGAUCGACUCAUCCAGUUCUUUCUGAUUUCUCAGCUCACAUUAACAAAGGAGAGAAACGUGUAGAUCUGGAGAUCAUCUCAGCUAAAGUGACAGACUCUGCUGUGUACUACUGUGCUCUGAUGCCCACAGUGACAGGAAACACCACAACUCUGUACAAAAACCUUUGGAGCAAAGACAAACACAGUCGUGAUAAAGAGCUUUAG